Molecule: ribosomal RNA, 771 nt
Filed under: soil bacterium Mafe-S2R-M1LLLSSL-3
Lineage: Bacteria
Description: bacterial SSU rRNA
Rfam family: Bacterial small subunit ribosomal RNA
Source: RNAcentral
GUGACGAGCGGCGGACGGGUGAGUAAUGUCUGGGAAACUGCCUGAUGGAGGGGGAUAACUACUGGAAACGGUAGCUAAUACCGCACAACGUCUACGGACCAGAGUGGGGGACCUUCGGGCCUCACGCCAUCAGAUGUGCCCAAAUGGGAUUAGCUAGUAGGUGGGGUAAUGGCUCACCUAGGCGACGAUCCCUAGCUGGUCUGAGAGGAUGACCAGCCACACUGGAACUGAGACACGGUCCAGACUCCUACGGGAGGCAGCAGUGGGGAAUAUUGCACAAUGGGCGCAAGCCUGAUGCACCCAUGCCGCGUGUGUGAAGAAGGCCUUCGGGUUGUAAAGCACUUUCAGCGAGGAGGAAGGGUAAUGUCUUAAUACGGCAUUACAUUGACGUUACUCGCAGAAGAAGCACCGGCUAACUCCGUGCCAGCAGCCGCGGUAAUACGGAGGGUGCAAGCGUUAAUCGGAAUUACUGGGCGUAAAGCGCACGCAGGCGGUUUGUUAAGUCAGAUGUGAAAUCCCCGCGCUUAACGUGGGAACUGCAUUUGAAACUGGCAAGCUAGAGUCUCGUAGAGGGGGGUAGAAUUCCAGGUGUAGCGGUGAAAUGCGUAGAGAUCUGGAGGAAUACCGGUGGCGAAGGCGGCCCCCUGGACGAAGACUGACGCUCAAGUGCGAGAGCGUGCGGAGCAAACAGGAUUAGAUACCCUGGUAGUCCACGCUGUAGACGAUGUCGAUUUUGGAGGUUGUGCCCUUGAGGCGUGGCUUCCGGAGCUA